GAUGAACGCUGGCGGCGUGCUUAACACAUGCGAGUCGAACGAUGAAGCCCAGCUUGCUGGGUGGAUUAGUGGCGAACGGGUGAGUAACACGUGAGUAACCUGCCCUUAACUCUGGGAUAAGCCUGGGAAACUGGGUCUAAUACCGGAUAGGAGCGUCCACCGCAUGGUGGGUGUUGGAAAGAUUUAUCGGUUUUGGAUGGACUCGCGGCCUAUCAGCUUGUUGGUGAGGUAAUGGCUCACCAAGGCGACGACGGGUAGCCGGCCUGAGAGGGUGACCGGCCACACUGGGACUGAGACACGGCCCAGACUCCUACGGGAGGCAGCAGUGGGGAAUAUUGCACAAUGGGCUCAAGCCUGAUGCAGCGACGCCGCGUGAGGGAUGACGGCCUUCGGGUUGUAAACCUCUUUCAGUAGGGAAGAAGCGAAAGUGACGGUACCUGCAGAAGAAGCACCGGCUAACUACGUG
RNAcentral lists this ribosomal RNA (466 nucleotides) under uncultured bacterium. RNAcentral describes it as "partial 16S ribosomal RNA". It matches the Rfam family "Bacterial small subunit ribosomal RNA", at positions 28 to 507 of the family's 1533-position model. The record is from RNAcentral.